GACGAACGCUGGCGGCGUGCUUAACACAUGCAAGUCGAACGCUGAAGCUCAGCUUUUGUUGGCUGGAUGAGUGGCGAACGGGUGAGUAACACGUGAGUAACCUGCCCCCUUCUUUGGGAUAACGCCCGGAAACGGGUGCUAAUACUGGAUAUUCACUGGUCUUCGCAUGGGGGUUGGUGGAAAGGGUUUUUCUGGUGGGGGAUGGGCUCGCGGCCUAUCAGCUUGUUGGUGGGGUGAUGGCCUACCAAGGCUUUGACGGGUAGCCGGCCUGAGAGGGUGACCGGUCACAUUGGGACUGAGAUACGGCCCAGACUCCUACGGGAGGCAGCAGUGGGGAAUAUUGCACAAUGGGCGCAAGCCUGAUGCAGCGACGCCGCGUGAGGGAUGGAGGCCUUCGGGUUGUGAACCUCUUUCGCUCAUGGUCAAGCCGCAACAAUGGUUGUGGUGAGGGUAGUGGGUAAAGAAGCGCCGGCUAACUACGUG
RNAcentral lists this ribosomal RNA (483 nucleotides) under uncultured bacterium. Its description in RNAcentral is "partial 16S ribosomal RNA". It matches the Rfam family "Bacterial small subunit ribosomal RNA", at positions 28 to 507 of the family's 1533-position model. The record is from RNAcentral.